UAAUUUAAAAAAAAAAAAAAAGUAACUCACGUACCAAGUGGUGCGUGAGUUGCAUAUUGGGCCAAUUUGAAUUUAAAUUAAAAGAGAAGGACUAAAUUGGACUAAAAGUUAAAAAUGGAUUAAAUUGAACAUCCCUGAAAAAUAAAAAGUACAGUGAGUGGGCAGAUUGAGCUUAUUUCCUUUACCAAAUUGUAUGCAAACUCACCCUCUAUGUUAAUUUUUGACAGGGAGAAGUAAUUUCAGUGGCAA
This 249-nucleotide unclassified non-coding RNA is filed under the name Hevea brasiliensis (rubber tree). The record is from RNAcentral. Lineage: Eukaryota; Viridiplantae; Streptophyta; Magnoliopsida; Malpighiales; Euphorbiaceae.